Molecule: long non-coding RNA, 285 nt
Filed under: Gossypium barbadense (sea-island cotton)
Lineage: Eukaryota; Viridiplantae; Streptophyta; Magnoliopsida; Malvales; Malvaceae
Description: long non-coding RNA (GBAR_LNC003429)
Source: RNAcentral
UCAAUUUAACUCUUUUGUACCACACAAAUGCUCGCAUCAAAUGCUGCUAAUCUUUGUUGAGGAAAGUGAUGAUGAGCUCAUUCACCUGCUCUGGUAGUUGUUCUUGAACAAAGUGAUUCCCUUCUGGCAUGAAAGUGAUGUCCAGAUUAGGCAUAAACUGCUUCACUAUCCCUUUCUUCAUGUACUCCUCCAUUCCUGGGAAUUUCAUAAAAUAGUCCUUCUCCCCCAUUAUCAGCAAUGAUGGAGCUGUCACUUUUGGAUUGGUUAUACCAUAAUCCAAUUGAG